Small nuclear RNA from Laticauda laticaudata (blue-ringed sea krait), 174 nucleotides. Its record names the gene U2. It matches the Rfam family "U2 spliceosomal RNA". From Rfam's summary of the family: U2 is a small nuclear RNA (snRNA) component of the spliceosome (involved in pre-mRNA splicing). Complementary binding between U2 snRNA (in an area lying towards the 5' end but 3' to hairpin I) and the branchpoint sequence (BPS) of the intron results the bulging out of an unpaired adenosine, on the BPS, which initiates a nucleophilic attack at the intronic 5' splice site, thus starting the first of two transesterification reactions that mediate splicing. NCBI's taxonomy places the organism in Eukaryota, Metazoa, Chordata, Lepidosauria, Squamata, Elapidae. The record is from Ensembl.
AUAGCUUCUGAGCCUUUUGGCUAAGAUCAAGUGUAGCACUGUAAUAAUUUUGAAUGGUCAUUAAUCAAAUGGUCAUAUGUUUAGAACUACUUGUAGACUAUAUCUAAAAGUCUUUAUGGAAGAGACCAAGUUAUACCUAUCAAGACUGAGACUUUCCAUUCAAAGUCAAUUUAA